Long non-coding RNA from Anguilla anguilla (European eel), 297 nucleotides. RefSeq lists it as uncharacterized. The transcript is spliced from 2 exons. The record is from RefSeq and is a predicted model, not a curated record. NCBI's taxonomy places the organism in Eukaryota, Metazoa, Chordata, Actinopteri, Anguilliformes, Anguillidae.
GGCGGCGGGGUGCGACCCACAGAGAGCUCCUCAGACGCCCGGACCGGGGUGUUGGCGGUGCGGACAACCGGGUCACCUGCGCCGCGAGUGCCCGCUCAUGGAGGUGGGGCAGGUGGUUCGUGUUGUCGGCCCGCCCACCUCUGCUCCCGACCCAGACGGAGCGUACUGUAUUCCGACCGACGCGUCGGACAGAGGGCUGGGGGCUGUUUUGACCCAGCAGGUGGAGGGAGUCGACCGCCCCGUGCUGUACAUUAGCCGAAAACUGUCACAACGGGAGGCGAAGUACAGCACGGUGGA